CAGAGUUGCAAAACUCCUAAACCCACUGUGAAUCUACCUAUCGUUCCUUCAGCAGGCGGCCCCCGGGGGGGCUUCGCCGCAAGGCGCCUGCUGAAGGACAACCAAACUCUGUUACUUAACUGUUCUCUGAGCCACUAUACAAAAGUCA
Molecule: unclassified non-coding RNA, 148 nt
Filed under: uncultured Paecilomyces
Lineage: Eukaryota; Fungi; Ascomycota; Eurotiomycetes; Eurotiales; Thermoascaceae
Description: sequence contains ITS1
Source: RNAcentral